CUGGCUCAGAUUGAACGCUGGCGGCGUGCUUAACACAUGCAAGUCGCGCGUGAAAGGACUUCGGUCCGAGUAAAGCGGCGCACGGGUGAGUAACGCGUGGAUGAUCUACCCAUGAGUUAGGAAUAACGGCUGGAAACGGUCGCUAAUACCAAAUACGCUCCGAUUUCAACUUCGGGGGAAAGGUGGCCUCUGCUUGCAAGCUACUGCUCAUGGAUGAGUCCGCGUCCCAUUAGCUAGUUGGUGGGGUAACGGCCCACCAAGGCGACGAUGGGUAGCCGGUCUGAGAGGAUGACCGGCCACACUGGGACUGGAACACGGCCCAGACUCCUACGGGAGGCAGCAGUGGGGAAUAUUGCGCAAUGGGCGAAAGCCUGACGCAGCGACGCCGCGUGAGGGAUGAAGGUCCUCGGAUCGUAAACCUCUGUCAGGAGGGAAGAACCGCCACGGUGCUAAUCAGCCGUGGUCUGACGGUACCUCCAAAGGAAGCACCGGCUAACUCCGUGCCAGCCGCUGC
RNAcentral lists this ribosomal RNA (514 nucleotides) under uncultured bacterium. Its description in RNAcentral is "bacterial SSU rRNA". It matches the Rfam family "Bacterial small subunit ribosomal RNA", at positions 19 to 518 of the family's 1533-position model. The record is from RNAcentral.